Molecule: ribosomal RNA, 375 nt
Filed under: uncultured bacterium
Lineage: Bacteria
Description: bacterial SSU rRNA
Rfam family: Bacterial small subunit ribosomal RNA
Source: RNAcentral
AUUGAACGCUGGCGGCAGGCCUAACACAUGCAAGUCGAGCGGGGUUUUCGGACCUAGCGGCGGACGGGUGAGUAAUGCGUAGGAAGCUACCCGAUAGAGGGGGAUACCAGUUGGAAACGACUGUUAAUACCGCAUAAUGUCUACGGACCAAAGUGUGGGACCUUCGGGCCACAUGCUAUCGGAUGCGCCUACGUGGGAUUAGCUAGUUGGUGAGGUAAUGGCUCACCAAGGCGACGAUCUCUAGCUGGUUUGAGAGGAUGAUCAGCCACACUGGAACUGAGACACGGUCCAGACUCCUACGGGAGGCAGCAGUGGGGAAUAUUGGACAAUGGGCGGCAAGCCUGAUCCAGCCAUGCCGCGUGUGUGAAGAAGGCC